GUCAUAGCAAUCAGAUUUACUUAAAGACCCAUUCUUGAAACAGGUGAACAAAGGCAAGAAAACAAAAUUGCAUCAAGCCUUCAGAUUAUAACCGUAGCACAUCUCUCCCUCUGCCAGUCCAAGGGGAGCAGGCUGGCAGCAGCAGCAGUGAACAUGGUUCUGUCUCCCCAGACUCUGAUAUGCAGCAUGACAUGCUCUUUGAAAAGGCAAAGCGCUCUGUAUCAGACAUCCAAACCAGGAAUGCCAUUUCUCACUUGCUAAGCAUUCCUGAUGACAAUUCAGUUUCAGAUGAACGAAGUGCUUCCCCUUCCCUUGAGGAAAAAGAUUCCGGCCUUUUCUUGCUACGAAAAGACAGUGAACGUCGUGCAAUUCUCUACAAAAUUCUCAAGGAAGAGCAGAAUCAAGUUGCUUCCAAUUUACAGGAUUGUGUA
Long non-coding RNA from Sceloporus undulatus (fence lizard), 431 nucleotides. RefSeq lists it as uncharacterized. The transcript has 3 exons. The record is from RefSeq and is a predicted model, not a curated record. NCBI's taxonomy places the organism in Eukaryota, Metazoa, Chordata, Lepidosauria, Squamata, Phrynosomatidae.